CCUACGGGUGGCAGCAGUGAGGAAUAUUGGUCAAUGGACGAGAGUCUGAACCAGCCAAGUAGCGUGAAGGAUGACUGCCCUAUGGGUUGUAAACUUCUUUUAUAUGGGAAUAAACUGUUCCACGUGUGGGAUUUUGUAUGUACCCUAUGAAUAAGGAUCGGCUAACUCCGUGCCAGCAGCCGCGGUAAUACGGAGGAUCCGAGCGUUAUCCGGAUUUUGUGGGUUUAAAGGGAGCGUAGGUGGAGUGUUAAGUCAGUUGUGAAAGUUUGCGGCUCAACCGUAAAAUUGCAGUUGAAACUGGCAGUCUGGAGUACAGUAGAGGUGGGCGGAAUGCGUGGUGUAGCGGUGAAAUGCUUAGAUAUCACGAAGAACUCCGAUUGCGAAGGCAGUUCACUGGACUGCAACUGACACUGUGGCACGAAAGUGUGGGUAUCAAACAGGAUUAGAUACCCUUGUAGUC
RNAcentral lists this ribosomal RNA (460 nucleotides) under uncultured bacterium. Its description in RNAcentral is "partial 16S ribosomal RNA". It matches the Rfam family "Bacterial small subunit ribosomal RNA", at positions 338 to 795 of the family's 1533-position model. The record is from RNAcentral.